RNAcentral lists this transfer RNA (101 nucleotides) under Trametopsis cervina. RNAcentral describes it as "tRNA-Ile". It matches the Rfam family "tRNA". Rfam says of the family: Transfer RNA (tRNA) molecules are approximately 80 nucleotides in length. Their secondary structure includes four short double-helical elements and three loops (D, anti-codon, and T loops). The record is from RNAcentral. Lineage: Eukaryota; Fungi; Basidiomycota; Agaricomycetes; Polyporales; Irpicaceae.
GGACCCUUAGCUCAGUGGUAGAGCUUUGUACUUAUGUGGUUAACUGAUUCGCUUGAGCACUUCCAAUGCAAAGGUCCCGAGUUCAACCCUCGGAGGGUCCA